Molecule: ribosomal RNA, 253 nt
Filed under: uncultured bacterium
Lineage: Bacteria
Description: partial 16S ribosomal RNA
Rfam family: Bacterial small subunit ribosomal RNA
Source: RNAcentral
UACGUAGGGGGCAAGCGUUAUCCGGAUUCACUGGGUGUAGAGGGAGCGUAGACGGCCAUGCAAGCCUGGAGUGAAAGCCCGGGGCCCAACCCCGGGACUGCUCUGGGAACUGUGCGGCUGGAGUGCGGGAGGGGCAGGCGGAAUUCCUGGUGUAGCGGUGAAAUGCGUAGAUAUCAGGAGGAACACCGGCGGCGAAGGCGGCCUGCUGGACCGCGACUGACGUUGAGGCUCGAAAGCGUGGGGAGCAAACAGG